RNAcentral lists this long non-coding RNA (1098 nucleotides) under Vigna radiata. RNAcentral describes it as "long non-coding RNA (VRAD_LNC006260)". The record is from RNAcentral. Lineage: Eukaryota; Viridiplantae; Streptophyta; Magnoliopsida; Fabales; Fabaceae.
AAAGACUCUAAGUGACAAAACAACAAAUUUCAAAUCUGAGUCUUUGCAAUAACUUGUCCCAUCAACUAUUACGUGUCAACCAAGUCAUUAAUUCCCUUCCUUAUCGAGAAGAUAAAUCUUUUGACUUCGCCACCUUCUCAAAACCUAUUCACUACACCAAUGCUUAUUUCCCUAAAUAUCUUAGUUCUCAAGAAAAAUAAAAUCUUUUCUCAAAUAUAAGUAGUAUAAUGUGCAUUAAAUAGAUAUGACAAAUGAAAACUAGCUUUGACCAAUACUCUUUCCUAUUUAAAUCGAGUCAAUCCUUCUCCUCUCUAACACUUCUACUCUUCCGAAAAUUAUCUACUUCCUUCUCUCUUGAAUGCCCACUCCAAUACUUAUUGACUCUUCAAGCUGUCAAUCGUCCAAACCAAUGAAACCACAUCCUGAACCUCCAAAUCAACAUCAUCAUCUUAUCUUUGGAUCAAGAUGCAUAUGACAAUCAAACAUUCCUUCUGAUUUGCUUACUCAGAACUUACUUGCCUUAAGCGAGUAGCAAUCCCACCUAAGUUACACCCUUCUCCACCUAACCUUGCCUUACUACAUCACCAUUUCCUUCCUUUUUUCUGCUAUCUCCCUCAUUCAUUUCACACCAAUCCUUCCUCGUCUUCCUCCUCCACGACUCAACCAUUCCAAUUCCAUGUCCACAUUUUCUCAUCCAACCCUUCUCUUUCCUAUCCAUUCCUUAACCUUUUCCUCCUCCACUCUCAUCAUCACCAUUUUCUAUCAUGAUUCGUCAACAAUGAUACCUACAUUGUCGUCUUCCACUCUGUCGAGCGUUGAUGUUAUCCUUCUCCACUUACCUCUUUUGAUGUUUAUUAAAUAAGAGGGAGAAGAGAUAGACACGUCAACAUGUUGGAGAAUGAACUCAGGGGGAGUACACUAGACAAUAGGUUAGAAUAGGAUAACAUAGAAUCAGAGGGAGUCUCUAGAUUCUUAGAAUUUCUCAUGCAUAACAUUGUACACAUUCAUGUUAAUGUAGUUUGAUAUGUUUAUGUUAAUGCAUUUAAAUAUCUGAUUUUAUGUGUAUUAAUAUAUGCUCUGAUUAUCUGAUAUAUGUUG